UACGUAGGGUGCGAGCGUUAAUCGGAAUUACUGGGCGUAAAGCGUGCGCAGGCGGUCUGUUAAGACCGAUGUGAAAUCCCCGGGCUUAACCUGGGAACUGCAUUGGUGACUGGCAGGCUUUGAGUGUGGCAGAGGGAGGUAGAAUUCCACGUGUAGCAGUGAAAUGCGUAGAGAAUGUGGAGGAAUACCGAUGGCGAAGGCAGCCUCCUGGGCCAACACUGACGCUCAUGCACGAAAGCGUGGGGAGCAAACAGGA
RNAcentral lists this ribosomal RNA (256 nucleotides) under uncultured bacterium. RNAcentral's name for it is "partial 16S ribosomal RNA". It matches the Rfam family "Bacterial small subunit ribosomal RNA", at positions 524 to 777 of the family's 1533-position model. The record is from RNAcentral.